Plutella xylostella (diamondback moth) is the source of this 306-nucleotide long non-coding RNA. RefSeq lists it as uncharacterized. The record is from RefSeq and is a predicted model, not a curated record. Lineage: Eukaryota; Metazoa; Arthropoda; Insecta; Lepidoptera; Plutellidae.
UAUACUGGCAACUCUAAAAUACAAAUCGUUCCUUUCAUUUGGAAAAUGUCGCACAGUGCGCUGUGUUUUUAAAUCGUCAUUUAUUAAUGUAAUCUCUUGACUGAGAGAUACAUUGAUCAGUUGAAGUUUUAACAACACCUUCUUAAAACAUGCGUGCCAAGUGGCGUAAGAAGCGUAUGCGAAGGCUAAAGCGUAAAAGGAGGAAGAUGCGUGCGAGGUCCAAAUAAACUAAUUGGUACUCAAGUGGAAAAGAAGAACAUGUUUCUGAUUGGUAGCUUGUGUAUCAAAUAAAAAAUACAAAAAAUG